Molecule: long non-coding RNA, 674 nt
Organism: Schistocerca nitens (vagrant locust)
Lineage: Eukaryota; Metazoa; Arthropoda; Insecta; Orthoptera; Acrididae
Exons: 2
Source: RefSeq, a predicted model, not a curated record
UUUAUUUCACCACCUCCUCCCCUAACUCUCGGCCAAAUAUUCACAGUAAAUAAUUUUAUUCACCACUUGCAGCUGAAUCGGCUUACCUCCGUGUCGAGCGCCAGUGCACAGAGGCUUGUUGGAGACCUCGGCUAAGGUGUCAUUUCUCCCUCCUGCGCAAUACACAUUUCCGGCAUCUUAACAAAAUGUGUUGUUGACCGAUGCAGACAGCUGCAACAGCUGGCCUCACGCGAUAUUUGCUUCUCUCUUCCACUUCGCAGAGCACGCAGUCGUCGCUAGUGCAUCGUGUAUAUAAAGGACGAGGAGACGCCAGAGCUGCAUCAGUCGUCAUGGCAGCCUCCACCAAGUCUCUCCUGCUCCUCUGUCUGGCUCUCGUGGUUGUGGCCACAAUGGCGCAGAAUUCUGCUGACGCGCCGCCACCAGCGGCCCCUAGCGGAGAUGCCGCCAACAACCAGGAGCCGGUACAGCCGGUGGCGGGCGACGGAGCUGCUGGGGACCAGGCGCUACAAGACCGCUGGGGGGCGUCCAUUUCCUUCCACAGCGGCUGAGCAGACGGCUGGCAGGUCCAAGAAACACACAGCUCUGCUUUAUCAAGAGCUAAAUUUUCUUUUUCCAAAAUUGUAGACGAACGUGUAUUACAAAAGAAAAAAUAAACUUUAGCAUCCGAAAAAGUA